This 527-nucleotide ribosomal RNA is filed under the name uncultured bacterium. RNAcentral's name for it is "bacterial SSU rRNA". It matches the Rfam family "Bacterial small subunit ribosomal RNA", at positions 777 to 1304 of the family's 1533-position model. The record is from RNAcentral.
AAUAGAUACCCCGGUAGUCCACGCCCUAAACGAUGUCGACUAGUUGUUCGGUGCAGCAAUGCGCUGAGUAACGCAGCUAACGCGUGAAGUCGACCGCCUGGGGAGUACGGCCGCAAGGUUAAAACUCAAAGGAAUUGACGGGGACCCGCACAAGCGGUGGAUGAUGUGGAUUAAUUCGAUGCAACGCGAAAAACCUUACCUACCCUUGACAUGCCUGGAACCCUGGUGAGAGCCGGGGGUGCCUUCGGGAACCAGGACACAGGUGCUGCAUGGCUGUCGUCAGCUCGUGUCGUGAGAUGUUGGGUUAAGUCCCGCAACGAGCGCAACCCUUGCCGCUAAUUGCCAUCAUUGAGUUGGGCACUUUAGCGAGACUGCCGGUGACAAACCGGAGGAAGGUGGGGAUGACGUCAAGUCCUCAUGGCCCUUAUGGGUAGGGCUUCACACGUCAUACAAUGGUCGGUACAGAGGGUUGCCAAGCCGCGAGGUGGAGCUAAUCCCUUAAAGCCGAUCGUAGUCCGGAUUGCAGU